Molecule: non-coding RNA, 208 nt
Organism: Oryza glaberrima (African rice)
Lineage: Eukaryota; Viridiplantae; Streptophyta; Magnoliopsida; Poales; Poaceae
Source: Rfam
AAAAAAAGCAAACAUUGGGUUUUCGUGUCCAAUUUUAACUGUCCGUCUUAUAUAAAUUUUUUUUAUAAUUUGUAUUUUCAUUGUUGUUAGAUGGUAAAACAUAAUUAAUAUUUCAUGCGUGACUUGUCUUUUUACUUUUUUUUUUUAAUUUUUUUAAAUAAGACGGACGGUCAAACGUUGAGCACGAAAAUCAGGUUUGUAACGUACU